UACGUAGGGUGCAAGCGUUAAUCGGAAUUACUGGGCGUAAAGCGUGCGCAGGCGGUUCUAUAAGACAGAUGUGAAAUCCCCGGGCUCACCUGGGAACUGCAUUUGUGACUGCAUAGCUAGAGUACGGUAGAGGGGGAUGGAAUUCCGCGUGUAGCAGUGAAAUGCGUAGAUAUGCGGAGGAACACCGAUGGCGAAGGCAAUCCCCUGGACCUGUACUGACGCUCAUGCACGAAAGCGUGGGGAGCAAACAGG
RNAcentral lists this ribosomal RNA (252 nucleotides) under uncultured bacterium. RNAcentral describes it as "partial 16S ribosomal RNA". It matches the Rfam family "Bacterial small subunit ribosomal RNA", at positions 524 to 776 of the family's 1533-position model. The record is from RNAcentral.